CAGUAGCCGCGGUAAUACGUAGGGUGCAAGCGUUAAUCGGAAUUACUGGGCGUAAAGCGUGCGCAGGCGGUUUGUUAAGACAGAUGUGAAAUCCCCGGGCUCAACCUGGGAACUGCAUUUGUGACUGGCAGGCUAGAGUAUGGCAGAGGGGGGUGGAAUUCCGCGUGUAGCAGUGAAAUGCGUAGAUAUGCGGAGGAACACCGAUGGCGAAGGCAGCCCCCUGGGCCAAUACUGACGCUCAUGCACGAAAGCGUGGGGAGCAAACAGGAUUAGAUACUCCUGUAGUCCCUGUCUCUUAUAC
Molecule: ribosomal RNA, 301 nt
Filed under: uncultured bacterium
Lineage: Bacteria
Description: partial 16S ribosomal RNA
Rfam family: Bacterial small subunit ribosomal RNA
Source: RNAcentral